GUGGGGAAUCUUGCGCAAUGGGCGAAAGCCUGACGCAGCCAUGCCGCGUGAAUGAUGAAGGUCUUAGGAUUGUAAAAUUCUUUCACCGGGGACGAUAAUGACGGUACCCGGAGAAGAAGCCCCGGCUAACUUCGUGCCAGCAGCCGCGGUAAUACGAAGGGGGCUAGCGUUGCUCGGAAUUACUGGGCGUAAAGGGCGCGUAGGCGGAUCUGUAAGUCAGGGGUGAAAUCCCAGAGAUCAACUCUGGAACUGCCCUUGAUACUGGCGAUCUUGAGUGUGAGAGAGGUAUGUGGAACUCCGAGUGUAGAGGUGAAAUUCGUAGAUAUUCGGAAGAACACCAGUGGCGAAGGCGACAUACUGGCUCAUUACUGACGCUGAGGCGCGAAAGCGUGGGGAGCAAACAGGAUUAGAAACCCCAGUAGUCC
RNAcentral lists this ribosomal RNA (425 nucleotides) under uncultured bacterium. RNAcentral's name for it is "partial 16S ribosomal RNA". It matches the Rfam family "Bacterial small subunit ribosomal RNA", at positions 354 to 796 of the family's 1533-position model. The record is from RNAcentral.